GAUGAACGCUAGCGGCAGGCCUAACACAUGCAAGUCGAGGGAGAAGCCCUUCGGGGCAGAAACCGGCGCACGGGUGCGUAACGCGUAUGCAACCUACCUUUCACAGGGGGAUAGCCCGAAGAAAUUUGGAUUAAUACCCCAUAAUAUUAUUGGGUGGCAUCAUUUGAUAAUUAAAAUUACGAUGGUGAAAGAUGGGCAUGCGUCCUAUUAGCUAGUUGGAGUGGUAACGGCACCCCAAGGCUACGAUAGGUAGGGGUCCUGAGAGGGAGAUCCCCCACACUGGUACUGAGACAGGGACCAGACUCCUACGGGAGGCAGCAGUGAGGAAUAUUGGUCAAUGGUCGGAAGACUGAACCAGCCAUGCCGCGUGCAGGAAGAAUGCCUUAUGGGUUGUAAACUGCUUUUAUAUGGGAAGAAUAAGGAGUACGUGUACUUGAG
Molecule: ribosomal RNA, 438 nt
Filed under: Capnocytophaga granulosa
Lineage: Bacteria; Pseudomonadati; Bacteroidota; Flavobacteriia; Flavobacteriales; Flavobacteriaceae
Description: bacterial SSU rRNA
Rfam family: Bacterial small subunit ribosomal RNA
Source: RNAcentral